Molecule: ribosomal RNA, 237 nt
Filed under: Clostridioides difficile
Lineage: Bacteria; Bacillati; Bacillota; Clostridia; Peptostreptococcales; Peptostreptococcaceae
Description: partial 16S ribosomal RNA
Rfam family: Bacterial small subunit ribosomal RNA
Source: RNAcentral
UUUUAUUUGAGAGUUUGAUCCUGGCUCAGGAUGAACGCUGGCGGCGUGCCUAACACAUGCAAGUUGAGCGAUUUACUUCGGUAAAGAGCGGCGGACGGGUGAGUAACGCGUGGGUAACCUACCCUGUACACACGGAUAACAUACCGAAAGGUAUGCUAAUACGGGAUAAUAUAUUUGAGAGGCAUCUCUUAAAUAUCAAAGGUGAGCCAGUACAGGAUGGACCCGCGUCUGAUUAGC